This 195-nucleotide long non-coding RNA is filed under the name Otus sunia (Oriental scops-owl). RNAcentral describes it as "lncRNA (ENSOSUG00000003398.1)". Lineage: Eukaryota; Metazoa; Chordata; Aves; Strigiformes; Strigidae. The record is from RNAcentral.
AAAGUGCACCACCUUAGAGACACCACUACUGGAAACAGACUAGAAAAAGAAAAUCUGAAUGUCUCCAACUAGGAACCCAACAGACAAGGAACAGAUGCCUAAUUAACAGAGUGCAAUUCUUUAGCCAGCUGCGCAUCAGUUUCCUCUGCUUGGCAUCCUACAUGUCUCCAAGUUCUGCACUGACCACCUCAGGCU